UACGUAGGGGGCGAGCGUUGUCCGGAGUUACUGGGCGUAAAGCGCUUGUAGGCGGUCCACCAAGUUUGGGGUGACAGUUGUCGACUUAAUCGGCAAAGUGCCUCAAAGACUGGCGGACUUGAGGGCCACAGAGGGACAUGGAACUCCAGGUGUAGUGGUGAAAUGCGUAGAUAUCCGCAGGAAUACCAGUGGCGAAGGCGGCACUCUGGGUUGUACCUGACGCUGAGGCGCGAAGGCUAGGGGAGCGAACAGG
Molecule: ribosomal RNA, 253 nt
Filed under: uncultured bacterium
Lineage: Bacteria
Description: partial 16S ribosomal RNA
Rfam family: Bacterial small subunit ribosomal RNA
Source: RNAcentral